RNAcentral lists this ribosomal RNA (353 nucleotides) under uncultured bacterium. RNAcentral describes it as "bacterial SSU rRNA". It matches the Rfam family "Bacterial small subunit ribosomal RNA", at positions 917 to 1267 of the family's 1533-position model. The record is from RNAcentral.
GGACCCGCACAAGUAGUGGAGCAUGUGGUUUAAUUCGAAGAUACGCGCAGAACCUUACCAACACUUGACAUGUUCGUCGCGACUUUAAGAGAUUAAAGUUUUCGGUUCGGCCGGACGAAACACAGGUGCUGCAUGGCUGUCGUCAGCUCGUGUCGUGAGAUGUUGGUUAAGUCCCGCAACGAGCGCAACCCUCACUUUUUAGUUGCCAUCAUUUAGUUGGGCACUCUGAAAGAACUGCCAGUGAUAAGCUGGAGGAAGGUGGGGAUGACGUCAAGUCCUCAUGGCCCUUACGUGUUGGGCUACACACGUGCUACAAUGGCAUUUACAAUAGGAAGCAAGAUGGCGACGUCAAG